This 451-nucleotide ribosomal RNA is filed under the name uncultured bacterium. Its description in RNAcentral is "bacterial SSU rRNA". It matches the Rfam family "Bacterial small subunit ribosomal RNA", at positions 355 to 825 of the family's 1533-position model. The record is from RNAcentral.
UCAAGAAACUUCCACAAUGGGCGAAAGCCUGAUGGAGCGACGUCGCGUGAUGGACGAAGUGCUUCGGCACGUAAACAUCUUUUUAUGUGGGAUGAAAUUAUUGACAGUACCACAUGAAUAAGGGGCUCCUAACUCUGUGCCAGCAGGAGCGGUAAUACAGAGGCCCCAAGCGUUAUCCGGAAUCACUGGGCGUAAAGGGUGUCGAGGCGGUUGUAUUAGUCGUUCGUAAAAUCUACGAGCUUAACUUGUAGGCGGCGAACGAAACGGUACGACUUGAGGUUUGGAGAGGUGCGUGGAACUCACGGUGUAGGGGUGAAAUCCGUUGAUAUCGUGGGGAACACCAAAGGCGAAGGCAGCGCACUGGCCAAAAUCUGACGCUCACACACGAAAGCUAGGGUAGCGAAGAGGAUUAGAUACCCUCGUAGUCCCUGAGCGGGCUGGCAAGGCGCAU